Molecule: ribosomal RNA, 253 nt
Filed under: uncultured bacterium
Lineage: Bacteria
Description: partial 16S ribosomal RNA
Rfam family: Bacterial small subunit ribosomal RNA
Source: RNAcentral
UACGGAGGGUGCUAGCGUUGUUCGGAAUUACUGGGCGUAAAGCGCACGUAGGCGGAUCAUUCAGUUAGAGGUGAAAGCCCAGGGCUCAACCCUGGAACUGCCUUUAAUACUGCUGGUCUGGAGUCCGGGAGAGGUGAGUGGAAUUCCGAGUGUAGAGGUGAAAUUCGUAGAUAUUCGGAGGAACACCAGUGGCGAAGGCGGCUCACUGGCUCGGUACUGACGCUGAAGUGCGAAAGCGUGGGGAGCAAACAGG